Molecule: long non-coding RNA, 2384 nt
Organism: Anolis carolinensis (green anole)
Lineage: Eukaryota; Metazoa; Chordata; Lepidosauria; Squamata; Anolidae
Exons: 2
Source: RefSeq, a predicted model, not a curated record
UCCUUACUUCCAAGGUCGGAUUUAAAUUUCCCUUGCUAACUCCUUGCCUGAUUUCUUUUUAUAGCUUUUAAACAAUUGACCGGCCUCAAAAAGAGGCUGCUGUUUUAAAAAUGCACAUUUUGGUUCUUCCUCUCUGUUGGUGGGAUGAACUGUGAAAAAUAUCAUUCUCCUUGUCACAAGGACUUUUUUCAGUAGAAGAGUUCAAGAGUUUUCAGGACUUGGCUAUUUUUAGUUCUUGGCUCCCCCUCCCCUUGCCACCCCAUGAAUCCAGCACCUGCUCUGAAGUCACGGUUAUUUUAAACUCCACAGAAAAACAAGAAAGGAAAAAGAGAACAAACAAAGACAGAAAAAAGAAAGAUGAUAGCAAUUACUCAAGAGACUGACUUGAUUCUUGAUAAGCAUCUGCAAAACAAGCAAACAGUGAUUCCCACUAUAUGACUAUUUCUCAGCAGAAUCCUGUAUGUAUUUACUUGGAAACAAGUCAAAUUGUGCUUGGUAAGACAUAUUGCUCAAGUACAUUGGCUGUGGAUUGCACCGUUGGUCAUGGAGGACUAAUUAAAAUGGGGAGCUCCAGCAAGAUUGACAAUCUGAAGUCUUUCAUCAUACACUAUCAUUUGUAUCAGGUUUAAAGGAAGAAACAAAUGGCACUAAGACAGAAAACAACAGCAGUAUUUCAAUAUGAGUGGCGAGAAAAGUCUUGGUCACACUUACCUGGGGUGAAAAAGAAGUGGAAGAGAAGAAAAAGCUAAGGGGUGGCCUCAAAGAAAGAGAGAGCAGGAGGAUCAACAGCAGUGGGACACUUUCUUUAUGUUCCUGCCAAGGGAAAGGGAGGGAGAAGAGGAGGGGAGGACACAGCAAGCAAGAGCACAUGCUUGAAUGGGAGCUUCCAGGACCCAAAGCAAAAUAGACCAGGGCUCUGACCUUCCACAGCUGUGCAAAAUGAAGACAGGCAUUUCGGCAGGCGCAGCUCAUGGGGCAGCCAAGGAAAAGCUGCACCUACUCCCUUUGUUCAGCUGUUAAAGCAAUACAGACGUCUCCUGGUUGUGUUUGGUUAAUGGUCCAGAUAGUAUUCUAAAAUGCAAAGCUGUUUGUAUGUUAGGAAACAGGCUGGCUGUUUUGCCAUAAGAUUUCCCAGUUGGAGGAAACCCCACUGCCUGGUUUCGUGGUGGUGAGCCUCUCUUGGAUGCCAGGCUUUCAAGGAAUAGGUAGCAUGAGGUCCAGAAGCCAUUUAUUCUUGUUUGCCACUUCUGCUACUGCUUCAACCAAGGCUGAAUAGUGUGCACAAUGCUACUUCUGCAGUUACAAUAUCUAGAAAUUUAAAAUGCUUUGGGCUGACUCACUUACUUGAACCCUCUACAGUUCUUUUACUACUUUUCUUAAACUAUCAAAAAUUCCAUUACAUGUUUAGUCAGCAUGGAUACUUAAACUAUAGUCAACCAAACAUAGUGACGGAUACCCCAAUUUCUGUAUAUUCUUUUUGCAUACAAAAAGAAAAAUUGAUUGACAAAUUAAUAGCAUGUGCACGAAUAGUUUUAGUGAGGGAUUGGAAAGAUAAAACAAAAUGGACUCUGACAAAUUGGUAUAAGUAUAUAGUUGCCUUGUUUUCCCCCAAAAUAAGACAGGGUCUUAUAUUAAUUUUUGCUCCAAAAGAUGUGUUAGGGCUUGUUUUCAGGGGCAGUCUUAUUUUUCCAAAUUGACUUUUAAAAUGUACUAUAUCUAAAGCUUAUUUUUGAAACAGGGCUCAUAUUUCAAGCAUCCUCAGAAAUGCUGAAAACUCAUGAUAGGUCUUAUUUUCAGGGUAGGUCUUAUUUUGGGGGAGACAGGGUAAUACAUUAAAUGUGGAAAUAACAAAUUGCAAAUGGAACAAUAUAGAUAAAAUUGAAAAGGUUACAAUAAUUAAGAGGAUGUGGGAACCAGCUAGAAAUUAUUUUAUCUAGAAAAUGUGCUAAGGUGUGGAGUGGAAAAAUUAAGAUUGAGAUUUCAAAUGUAACUUCUGUAGUUUGCUGUAUAAAUUACAUGUACAAGGAGGGGAGGGUGGGAGUGGGAUAAAACAAUAAAACAAAACAACCCCCCCCCCAAAAUGGAUAUCCCAGUUUGAUAGUUCUGAAAGGAGAUUGGAUACUUUCAUGGAGGAUGGGACUAUUCAUGGCUAUUAGCUAUGAUAGAUAUUUACUUUCUCUAAAUGGAUGUCUGUGUAUAUCAGUUGCUAGGACAUGAGUGGAAUAAUGCUCACCCAUUCAUGUCCUGUUGGUGGGCUUCCUAUAGGCAAACAAUUGGCUGCCAUGAAAACAGAAAAUUGUACUAGACAGGUCUUUUGACUGCUCCACUAUAAUAUUUGCAAUGUUCUUCUCAGCUUGGGGUAAAUCAAUAAAUGGAUGAUGGGA